RNAcentral lists this ribosomal RNA (253 nucleotides) under uncultured bacterium. RNAcentral describes it as "partial 16S ribosomal RNA". It matches the Rfam family "Bacterial small subunit ribosomal RNA", at positions 524 to 776 of the family's 1533-position model. The record is from RNAcentral.
UACGGAGGGUGCGAGCGUUGCUCGGAAUUAUUGGGCGUAAAGCGUACGCAGGCGGCCGAUCAAGUCGAGUGUGAAAUCCCGGGGCUCAACCCCGGACAUGCAUUCGAGACUGACUGGCUUGAGUGCGGGAGAGGGAAGCGGAAUUCCUGGUGUAGAGGUGAAAUUCGUAGAUAUCAGGAGGAACACCGGUGGCGAAAGCGGCUUCCUGGCCCGACACUGACGCUCAUGUACGAAAGCGUGGGGAGCAAACAGG